GGAGAGAUGGCCGAGCGGCUGAAGGCGCUCCCCUGCUAAGGGAGUAUAGGGCUAAUAACUCUAUCGAGGGUUCGAAUCCCUCUCUCUCCGCCA
Molecule: transfer RNA, 93 nt
Filed under: Methylococcus sp.
Lineage: Bacteria; Pseudomonadati; Pseudomonadota; Gammaproteobacteria; Methylococcales; Methylococcaceae
Also listed under: 1 other name
Description: tRNA-Ser
Rfam family: tRNA
About the family: Transfer RNA (tRNA) molecules are approximately 80 nucleotides in length. Their secondary structure includes four short double-helical elements and three loops (D, anti-codon, and T loops).
Source: RNAcentral